UACGAAGGGGGCGAGCGUUGUUCGGAAUUACUGGGCGUAAAGCGUGCGUAGGCGGCUUUGCAAGACAGAUGUGAAAUCCCCGGGCUUAACCUGGGAACUGCAUUUGUGACUGCAUGGCUAGAGUGCGGCAGAGGGGGAUGGAAUUCCGCGUGUAGCAGUGAAAUGCGUAGAUAUGCGGAGGAACACCGAUGGCGAAGGCAAUCCCCUGGGCCUGCACUGACGCUCAUGCACGAAAGCGUGGGGAGCAAACAGG
This 253-nucleotide ribosomal RNA is filed under the name uncultured bacterium. Its description in RNAcentral is "partial 16S ribosomal RNA". It matches the Rfam family "Bacterial small subunit ribosomal RNA", at positions 524 to 776 of the family's 1533-position model. The record is from RNAcentral.